RNAcentral lists this ribosomal RNA (563 nucleotides) under uncultured organism. RNAcentral describes it as "bacterial SSU rRNA". It matches the Rfam family "Bacterial small subunit ribosomal RNA", at positions 338 to 893 of the family's 1533-position model. The record is from RNAcentral.
CCUACGGGUGGCAGCAGUUUCGAAUCAUUCACAAUGGGCGAAAGCCUGAUGGUGCGACGCCGCGUGAGGGAUGAAGGUCUUCGGAUUGUAAACCUCUGUCACCAGGGAAGAAACGUUUGAAGUUAACAGCUUUAAACCUGACUUAACCUGGAGAGGAAGCAGUGGCUAACUCUGUGCCAGCAGCCGCGGUAAUACAGAGACUGCAAGCGUUAUUCGGAUUCACUGGGCGUAAAGGGUGCGCAGGCGGCCGUGUGUGUUAGGUGUGAAAGCCCGAGGCUCAACCUCGGAAUUGCGCCUAAAACUAUACGGCUAGAGCAUUGGAGAGGGUAGCGGAAUUCAUGGUGUAGCAGUGAAAUGCGUAGAUAUCAUGAGGAACACCAGAGGCGAAGGCGGCUACCUGGACAAUUGCUGACGCUCAGGCACGAAAGCGUGGGGAGCGAAAGGGAUUAGAUACCCCUGUAGUCCACGCCCUAAACGGUGCACACUAGGUCUUGGAGGAUUCGACCCCUUCAGGGCCCAAGCUAACGCGUUAAGUGUGCCGCCUGAGGACUACGGCCGCAAGG